Molecule: ribosomal RNA, 292 nt
Filed under: uncultured prokaryote
Description: partial 16S ribosomal RNA
Rfam family: Bacterial small subunit ribosomal RNA
Source: RNAcentral
GUGUAAGCCGCCUCGGUAAUACGGAGGUUUCGCGCGUUAAUCGGAAUUACUGGGCGUAAAGCGCAUGCAGGUGGUUUGUUAAGUCAGAUGUGAAAGCCCGGGGCUCAACCUCGGAAUAGCAUUUGAAACUGGCAGACUAGAGUACUGUAGAGGGGGGUAGAAUUUCAGGUGUAGCGGUGAAAUGCGUAGAGAUCUGAAGGAAUACCGGUGGCGAAGGCGGCCCCCUGGACAGAUACUGACACUCAGAUGCGAAAGCGUGGGGAGCAAACAGGAUUAGAAAACCCCGUAGUCC